AUUAACGCUGGCAGUGUGUAUAAUACAUGCAAGUCGAGUGGUCAGCACUUUGCCUACAUUUUAAUGUAGUCAGGGUGCUGGCCACGGCAGACGGGUGAGUAACACGUUGGUACCUGCCCUGAAGUGAGGGAUAACCCCGCGAAAGCGGGGCUAAUACCGCAUAUGAUCGUAAGAUUAAAGCUUCGGCGCUUCAGGAGGGGCCUGCGCAAUAUCAGCUAGUUGGUGAGGUAACGGCUCACCAAGGCUAUGACGUUUAGCUGGUCUGAGAGGAUGAUCAGCCACAAUGGGACUGAGACACGGUCCAUACUCCUACGGGAGGCAGCAGUAAAGAAUCUUCCGCAAUGGGCGCAAGCCUGACGGAGCAACACUGCGUGGAGGAUGAAGGCUUUCGGGUCGUAAACUCCUUUUCUGGGGGAAGAAGUUCUGACGGUACCCCAGGAAUAAGCGACGGCAAACUACGU
This 461-nucleotide ribosomal RNA is filed under the name uncultured bacterium. Its description in RNAcentral is "bacterial SSU rRNA". It matches the Rfam family "Bacterial small subunit ribosomal RNA", at positions 29 to 506 of the family's 1533-position model. The record is from RNAcentral.